AACGAACGCUGGCGGCGUGGAUAAGACAUGCAAGUCGAACGGGACAAGUAGCAAUAUUUGUCUAGUGGCGAACGGGUGCGUAACACGUGGGCAACAUGCCUGGAAGAGCGGGAUAGCCCGGGGAAACUCGGAUUAAUACCGCAUGUGACAACGGGGCGGAUUCGCCCUGUUUUCAAAGGUGGGGACCGCAAGGCCUGCCGCUUCCAGAUUGGCCCGCGUCCUAUCAGCUAGUUGGCGGGGUAACGGCCCACCAAGGCGACGACGGGUAGCUGGUCUGAGACGACGACCAGCCAAACUGGAACUGGGACACGGUCCAGACACCUACGGGUGGCAGCAGUCGGGAAUCUUUCACAAUGGGGGAAACCCUGAUGGAGCGACGCCGCGUGGAGGAUGACGGUCUUCGGAUUGUAAACUCCUGUCAUGAAAGAACAAGCGGAGCGGGUAAACAGCCCGCCGAGUUGAUAGUAUUUCAAGAGGAAGGGACGGCUAACUUCGUGCCAGCAGCCGCCGCAG
This 513-nucleotide ribosomal RNA is filed under the name uncultured bacterium. RNAcentral describes it as "partial 16S ribosomal RNA". It matches the Rfam family "Bacterial small subunit ribosomal RNA", at positions 29 to 523 of the family's 1533-position model. The record is from RNAcentral.